Molecule: long non-coding RNA, 363 nt
Filed under: Musa acuminata (dwarf banana)
Lineage: Eukaryota; Viridiplantae; Streptophyta; Magnoliopsida; Zingiberales; Musaceae
Description: long non-coding RNA (MACU_LNC004298)
Source: RNAcentral
GUGCAGCCCCCUCCGAUGGCUCCGUCCCCGAUGGACCAGCAGCCGCCACCGCAGCAGUGGACCGUGAUGCAGCCGACACUGCAGCCGCAGUACUACCAGGCACCCCCGGCGCCGCCGAUGUGGAACCAGCAGCCCACCCAGGUGCCGCCUCCGCUUCCCCAGCCCGUGCCGCAGCAGUCCCAGCCGCAAUACCAGGCCCCUGCGCCGGUGCCACCUCCCCAAAUGCAGUAUCAGGCGCCGGCGCCCGUCCCGGCCAUGGCGCCACAGCCGGCGUCCGCUGAUGAGAUUCGCACGCUUUGGAUUGGAGACUUACCGUACUGGAUGGAAGAGAGCUAUCUCUACAGCUGCUUUGUUCAUACCGGA